RNAcentral lists this ribosomal RNA (468 nucleotides) under uncultured bacterium. RNAcentral describes it as "partial 16S ribosomal RNA". It matches the Rfam family "Bacterial small subunit ribosomal RNA", at positions 28 to 507 of the family's 1533-position model. The record is from RNAcentral.
GAUGAACGCUGGCGGCGUGCUUAACACAUGCAAGUCGAACGGUGAAGGCGGAGCUUGCUCUGCUGGAUCAGUGGCGAACGGGUGAGUAACACGUGAGCAAUCUGCCCCUGACUCUGGGAUAAGCGCUGGAAACGGCGUCUAAUACUGGAUACGAGCUGCGAAGGCAUCUUCAGCAGCUGGAAAGAACUUCGGUCAGGGAUGAGCUCGCGGCCUAUCAGCUUGUUGGUGAGGUAACGGCUCACCAAGGCGUCGACGGGUAGCCGGCCUGAGAGGGUGACCGGCCACACUGGGACUGAGACACGGCCCAGACUCCUACGGGAGGCAGCAGUGGAGAAUAUUGCACAAUGGGCGAAAGCCUGAUGCAGCAACGCCGCGUGAGGGACGACGGCCUUCGGGUUGUAAACCUCUUUUAGCAGGGAAGAAGCGAAAGUGACGGUACCUGCAGAAAAAGCGCCGGCUAACUACGUG